Molecule: ribosomal RNA, 216 nt
Filed under: uncultured bacterium
Lineage: Bacteria
Description: partial 16S ribosomal RNA
Rfam family: Bacterial small subunit ribosomal RNA
Source: RNAcentral
GACGAACGAGCGAACGUUGUUCGGAAUCACUGGGCUUAAAGGGCGCGUAGGCGGGCUGCCGUAAGUUUGGGGUGAAUCCUCCGGCUCAACCGGGGAAGUGCCUUGAAUACUGGCGGUCGUGGAGGGAGGUAGGGGCGUGCGGGAACUGUAGGUGGAGCGGUGAAAUGACGUUGAGUAUCUACAGGAACGUCCGGUGGCGAAGGCGGCGACGCUGGC